Molecule: ribosomal RNA, 1026 nt
Filed under: Halogeometricum sp. enrichment culture clone SVC_E12
Lineage: Archaea; Methanobacteriati; Methanobacteriota; Halobacteria; Halobacteriales; Haloferacaceae
Description: bacterial SSU rRNA
Rfam family: Archaeal small subunit ribosomal RNA
Source: RNAcentral
UCGGAGUCGAUUUAGCCUGCUAGUUGCGCGAGUUCAGACUCGCAGCAGAUAGCUCAGUAACACGUGGUCAAGCUACCCUGCAGACACGGACAACCUCGGGAAACUGAGGCUAAUCCGCGAUACCGAUCCCACGCUGGAAUGCCGGGAUCCACAAACGCUCCGGCGCUGCAGGAUGCGGCUGCGGCCGAUUAGGUAGACGGUGGGGUAACGGCCCACCGUGCCGAUAAUCGGUACGGGUUGUGAGAGCAAGAGCCCGGAGACGGAAUCUGAGACAAGAUUCCGGGCCCUACGGGGCGCAGCAGGCGCGAAACCUUUACACUGCACGCAAGUGCGAUAAGGGGACUCCGAGUGCGAGGGCAUAUAGUCCUCGCUUUUGAGAACCGUAAGGUGGUUCUCGAAUAAGAGCUGGGCAAGACCGGUGCCAGCCGCCGCGGUAAUACCGGCAGCUCAAGUGAUGGCCAAUCUUAUUGGGCCUAAAGCGUCCGUAGCUGGCCGUGAAAGUUCGUCGGGAAAUCCAUCCGCUCAACGGAUGGGCGUCCGGCGAAAACUUCACGGCUUGGGACCGGAAGGCUCGAGGGGUACGUCCGGGGUAGGAGUGAAAUCCUGUAAUCCUGGACGGACCGCCGAUGGCGAAAGCACCUCGAGAAGACGGAUCCGACAGUGAGGGACGAAAGCUAGGGUCUCGAACCGGAUUAGAUACCCGGGUAGUCCUAGCCGUAAACGAUGUUCACUAGGUGUGGCACAGGCUACGAGCCUGUGCUGUGCCGUCCGAAGCCGAGAAGUGAACCGCCUGGGAAGUACGUCCGCAAGGAUGAAACUUAAAGGAAUUGGCGGGGGAGCACUACAACCGGAGGAGCCUGCGGUUUAAUUGGACUCAACGCCGGACAUCUCACCAGCUCCGACUACAGUAAUGACGGGUCAGGUUGAUGACCUUACCACGAGCUGUAGAGAGGAGGUGCAUGUCCGCCGUCAGCUCGUACCGUGAGUCGUCCUGUAGUCAUGCACGAGCGAGACCUACGCACUAUG